RNAcentral lists this ribosomal RNA (429 nucleotides) under Bacteroidota bacterium. RNAcentral describes it as "Bacteroidetes bacterium partial 16S ribosomal RNA". It matches the Rfam family "Bacterial small subunit ribosomal RNA", at positions 355 to 776 of the family's 1533-position model. The record is from RNAcentral. Lineage: Bacteria; Pseudomonadati; Bacteroidota.
UAGGGAAUCUUCGGCAAUGGGGGGAACCCUGACCGAGCAACGCCGCGUGAGUGAAGAAGGUUUUCGGAUCGUAAAGCUCUGUUGUUAAGGAAGAACGAGUGUGAGAAUGGAAAGUUCAUGCUGUGACGGUACUUAACCAGAAAGGGACGGCUAACUACGUGCCAGCAGCCGCGGUAAUACGUAGGUCCCGAGCGUUGUCCGGAUUUAUUGGGCGUAAAGCGAGCGCAGGCGGUUAGAAAAGUCUGAAGUGAAAGGCAGUGGCUCAACCAUUGUAGGCUUUGGAAACUGUUUAACUUGAGUGCAGAAGGGGAGAGUGGAAUUCCAUGUGUAGCAGUGAAAUGCGUAGAUAUAUGGAGGAACACCGGUGGCGAAAGCGGCUCUCUGGUCUGUAACUGACGCUGAGGCUCGAAAGCGUGGGGAGCAAACAGG